GGGUGAAGGUCAUUUUCAGUUAUAAAUCAUUCGUGAUUAAAACAAACUGUAUAAUGUUCUAUUAUGCACUAAUGAUUGGUGGGAGUGUAAGUGACUCCUAAAUGUGUAUUAAGGUCUGUUUAUAAGGUAAUUACUUUCUGCAAGCUUUUAUUUUGAAAGUCACCUUUUUACAUUACGUGACUUUUAUUUUGACGCCACCUCCUGGCGGAAGAAGGAUAGUGCUACGGAGAUUUACUGAAGGAGGGAAAGCACGCAAUUGCGCUGCUUUAUGUCAUCAUAAACUGAUAAUUAAGCGCCUAGCCAGUACGGGAACAAGCUCUUACGGUGUUUUCUGAAGAAAGGUGUUUAAAGAAGAAAAGGUGAAUUUGUGUUCAAAAUAUGGCUAACGGCUGAACAUAAAUAAAAGGCUUCUGAAACAUCA
Molecule: long non-coding RNA, 421 nt
Organism: Sebastes umbrosus (honeycomb rockfish)
Lineage: Eukaryota; Metazoa; Chordata; Actinopteri; Perciformes; Sebastidae
Exons: 2
Source: RefSeq, a predicted model, not a curated record